GUCGAGCGAUGAGAUCCCUUCGGGGAUGGAUUAGCGGCGAACGGGUGAGGAACACGUGAAGAAUCUGCCUUCAACUCUGGGAUAACACCGGGAAACCGGUGCUAAUACCGGAUAUGAGCCUUGAUCGCAUGAUCGGGGCUGGAAAGUUUUUCGGUUGAAGAUGACUUCGCGGCCUAUCAGCUUGUUGGUGAGGUAAUGGCUCACCAAGGCGACGACGGGUAGCCGGCCUGAGAGGGCGACCGGCCACACUGGGACUGAGACACGGCCCAGACUCCUACGGGAGGCAGCAGUGGGGAGUAUUGGGCAAUGGACGAAAGUCUGACCCAGCGACGCCGCGUGCGGGAUGAAGGCCUUCGGGUUGUAAACCGCUUUCAGCAGGGAAGAAGCGAAAGUGACGGUACCUGCAGAAGAAGCACCGGCUAACUAUGUGCCAGCAGCCGCGGUAAUACAUAGGGUGCAAGCGUUGUCCGGAAUUAUUGGGCGUAAAGAGCUCGUAGGUGGUUAGUUACGUCGGAUGUGAAAAUCUAGGGCUCAACCCUAGACCUGCAUCCGAUACGGGCUAGCUUGAGUUUGGUAGGGGAGACUGGAAUUCCUGGUGUAGCGGUGGAAUGCGCAGAUAUCAGGAGGAACACCAAUGGAGAAGGCAGGUCUCUGGGCCAAUACUGACACUGAGGAGCGAAAGUGUGGGGAGCGAACAGGAUUAGAUACCCUGGUAGUCCACACAGUAAACGAUGGGCACUAGUUGUGGGAACCUUCCACGGUUUCUGCGACGCAGCUAACGCAUUAAGU
RNAcentral lists this ribosomal RNA (789 nucleotides) under uncultured Actinomycetes bacterium. Its description in RNAcentral is "bacterial SSU rRNA". It matches the Rfam family "Bacterial small subunit ribosomal RNA", at positions 61 to 865 of the family's 1533-position model. The record is from RNAcentral. Lineage: Bacteria; Bacillati; Actinomycetota; Actinomycetes.